GUAGCGGCACGUGGGUGCGAAUCCCACGCGCCGAUGGCCCAAGGUCGCCAGAGGAAGGCUCGUCCUCUCGGGGAUAGUCGGGACCUAAGGGGAGGCCGAAAGGCGUAGCCGAUGGACGACGGGUGGAUAUUCCCGUACCGGCGGCGUACCGUAAGAGCCGAACGGAUGAGUACUAACCUCCGGUCGCGUGGCGUCGUUCCCUUCGGGGUUCGGGGCGCGUGGCUGUUGGGAGCGUAGUCCUGGUAGGCUAGCGCACAGGGGUGACACGGAAUGGGAGCCGGCCGCGGAGGUGGUUUUCCGUGGUCAAGCACGCAGCCCGUCCCAUAGGCAAAUCCGUGGGACGCAUAGGGUGAGGUGUGAUGAUGGGCGUCCUUUGGACGCGAUAUCCGGUGGUCCAGGCCGUCGAGAAAAGCCUCGGCGCGAGGGGCGUCGCCGCCCGUACCCCAAACCGACACUGGUGGUCAGGUAGAGAAUACCAAGGCGAUCGAGCGAAUCCUGGUCAAGGAACUCGGCAAAUCACUCCCGUGCCUUCGGUAUAAGGGAGACCCCCGGGCGUGAAGAGGCUUGCCCUCGGAGCGUUGGGGGGUGGCACAGACCAGGGGGUAGCGACUGUUUACCAAAAACACAGGUGCAUGCGAAGGCGCAAGCCGCUGUAUAUGCACUGACGCCUGCCCGGUGCCGGAAGGUUAAGAGGAUCCGUCAGCCCCUUUUGGGGUGAAGCGGUGAAUUCAAGCCCCGGUAAACGGCGGUGGUAACUAUAACCAUCCUAAGGUAGCGAAAUUCCUUGUCGGGUAAGUUCCGACCUGCACGAAUGGCGUAACGAUCUCCACACUGUCUCGGCCAGAGACUCGGUGAAAUUGCAGUCGCGGUGAAAAUUCCGUGUACCCGCAGAAAGACGGAAAGACCCUGUGCACCUUUACUAUAGCUUGACAUUGGAUUUUGGGCCUGCAUGUGUAGGAUAGGUGGGAGGCUGCGAACCCUGUACGCCAGUAUGGGGGGAGCCAUCCUUGAAAUACCACCCUUGCAUGUUUAAGAUCCUAACUUCUUCCGGUUAUCCCGGAGAAAGACAGUGUCUGGCGGGUAGUUUGACUGGGGCGGUCGCCUCCUAAAGUGUAACGGAGGCAUGCAAAGGUUCCCUCAGCCUGAUCGGAAACCAGGCGCUGAGUGCAAACGCAUAAGGGAGCUUGACUGUAAGAGAGACAUCUCGAACAGGAACGAAAGUUGGCGUUAGUGAUCCGGUGGUCCCGAAUGGAAGGGCCAUCGCUCAUUGGAUAAAAGGUACGCCGGGGAUAACAGGCUGAUCGCAUCCAAGAGUUCACAUCGACGAUGCGGUUUGGCACCUCGAUGUCGGCUCAUCACAUCCUGGGGCUGAAGCAGGUCCCAAGGGUACGGCUGUUCGCCGUUUAAAGUGGUACGCGAGCUGGGUUUAAAACGUCGUGAGACAGUUUGGUCCCUAUCUUCUGUGGGCGAAGGAGAAUUGAGAGGGCCUGUCCCUAGUACGAGAGGACCGGGAUGGACGCACCCCUGGUGAUCCUGUUGUCGCGCCAGCGGCAUAGCAGGGUAGCUAUGUGCGGAAGGGAUAACCGCUGAAAGCAUCUAAGCGGGAAGCCUGCCUCAAGAUAAGUUCUCCCCUCGAAAGAGCUGAAGGGCCCGGGUAGACUACCCGGUCGAUAGGCUGGAGGUGUAAGCGCGGCGACGUGCUCAGCUGACCAGUACUAAUAGCCCGAGCGGCUUAUUUAU
This 1740-nucleotide ribosomal RNA is filed under the name human gut metagenome. RNAcentral describes it as "bacterial LSU rRNA". It matches the Rfam family "Bacterial large subunit ribosomal RNA", at positions 1306 to 2925 of the family's 2925-position model. The record is from RNAcentral.